RNAcentral lists this transfer RNA (67 nucleotides) under Marmota monax (woodchuck). Its description in RNAcentral is "tRNA.Ala". It matches the Rfam family "tRNA". Rfam says of the family: Transfer RNA (tRNA) molecules are approximately 80 nucleotides in length. Lineage: Eukaryota; Metazoa; Chordata; Mammalia; Rodentia; Sciuridae. The record is from RNAcentral.
GGUUGUGGCUCAGUGGUAGAGUGCUUGCCUAGCAUGCAUGAGGCACUGGGUUCGAUCCCUGGCACCA